CACGUAAGGGGCGAGCGUUGUUCGGAAUUAUUGGGCGUAAAGGGCGCGUAGGCGGUCCUGUAAGCCCGGCGUGAAAACCUGGAGCUCAACUCUGGGCCUGCGCUGGGAACUGCGGGACUAGAGUCAUGGAAGGGAAGUUGGAAUUCCAGGUGUAGGGGUGAAAUCGGUAGAUAUCUGGAAGAACACCGGUGGCGAAGGCGAACUUCUGGCCAAUGACUGACGCUGAGGCGAGAAAGUGCGGGGAGCAAACAGG
Molecule: ribosomal RNA, 253 nt
Filed under: uncultured bacterium
Lineage: Bacteria
Description: partial 16S ribosomal RNA
Rfam family: Bacterial small subunit ribosomal RNA
Source: RNAcentral